RNAcentral lists this ribosomal RNA (496 nucleotides) under uncultured bacterium. RNAcentral's name for it is "partial 16S ribosomal RNA". It matches the Rfam family "Bacterial small subunit ribosomal RNA", at positions 29 to 507 of the family's 1533-position model. The record is from RNAcentral.
AUGCACGCUGGCGGCGUGCCUCAUCCCUGCCAGUCGAGCGAACAGAUGAGGAGCUUGCUCCUCUGACGUUAGCGGCGGACGGGUGAGUAACACGUGGAUAACCUACCUAUAAGACUGGGAUAACUUCGGGAAACCGGAGCUAAUACCGGAUAAUAUAUUGAACCGCAUGGUUCAAUAGUGAAAGACGGUUUUGCUGUCACUUAUAGAUGGAUCCGCGCCGCAUUAGCUAGUUGGUAAGGUAACGGCUUACCAAGGCAACGAUGCGUAGCCGACCUGAGAGGGUGAUCGGCCACACUGGAACUGAGACACGGUCCAGACUCCUACGGGAGGCAGCAGUAGGGAAUCUUCCGCAAUGGGCGAAAGCUUGACGGAGCAACGCCGCGUGAGUGAUGAAGGUCUUCGGAUCGUAAAACUCUGUUAUUAGGGAAGAACAAAUGUGUAAGUAACUAUGCACGUCUUGACGGUACCUAAUCAGAAAGCCACGGCUAACUACGUG